CGGGCCAGAAAUGGUCAACUCUUUGGACACUCGUGAACAGGUGGUGCAUGGUUGUCGUCAGCUCGUGUCGUGAGAUGUUGGGUUAAGUCCCGCAACGAGCGCAACCCUCGUCCUAUGUUGCCAGCGCGUUAUGGCGGGGACUCAUAGGAGACUGCCGGGGUCAACUCGGAGGAAGGUGGGGAUGACGUCAAAUCAUCAUGCCCCUUAUGUCUUGGGCUUCACGCAUGCUACAAUGGCCGGUACAAAGGGCUGCGAUACCGUAAGGUGGAGCGAAUCCCAAAAAGCCGGUCUCAGUUCGGAUUGAGGUCCGCAACUCGACCUCAUGAAGUCGGAGUCGCUAGUAAUCGCAGAUCAGCAACGCUGCGGUGAAUACGUUCCCGGGUCUUGUACACACCGA
Molecule: ribosomal RNA, 397 nt
Filed under: uncultured bacterium
Lineage: Bacteria
Description: bacterial SSU rRNA
Rfam family: Bacterial small subunit ribosomal RNA
Source: RNAcentral